GACAGAGGGUGCAAACGUUGCUCGGAAUCACUGGGCGUAAAGGGCGUGUAGGCGGGCAGGUAAGUCGGGCGUGAAAUCCCUGAGCUCAACUCAGGAACUGCACUCGAAACUACUUUUCUUGAGUGCCGGAGAGGAAAGCGGAAUACCUGGUGUAGAGGUGAAAUUCGUAGAUAUCAGGUGGAACACCAGUGGCGAAGGCGGCUUUCUGGACGGUAACUGACGCUGAGACGCGAAAGCGUGGGGAGCAAACAGG
Molecule: ribosomal RNA, 253 nt
Filed under: uncultured bacterium
Lineage: Bacteria
Description: partial 16S ribosomal RNA
Rfam family: Bacterial small subunit ribosomal RNA
Source: RNAcentral